GACGAACGCUGGCGGCGUGCCUAAUACAUGCAAGUUGAGCGCUGAAGGUUGGUACUUGUACCGACUGGAUGAGCAGCGAACGGGUGAGUAACGCGUGGGGAAUCUGCCUUUGAGCGGGGGACAACAUUUGGAAACGAAUGCUAAUACCGCAUAAAAACUUUAAACACAAGUUUUAAGUUUGAAAGAUGCAAUUGCAUCACUCAAAGAUGAUCCCGCGUUGUAUUAGCUAGUUGGUGAGGUAAAGGCUCACCAAGGCGAUGAUACAUAGCCGACCUGAGAGGGUGAUCGGCCACAUUGGGACUGGGACACGGCCCAAACCCCUACGGGAGGCAGCAGUAGGGAAUCUUCGGCAAUGGACGAAAGUCUGACCGAGCAACGCCGCGUGAGUGAAGAAGGUUUUCGGAUCGUAAAACUCUGUUGGUAGAGAAGAACGUUGGUGAGAGUGGAAAGCUCAUCAAGUGACGGUAACUACCCAGAAAGGGACGGCUAACUACGUG
RNAcentral lists this ribosomal RNA (497 nucleotides) under uncultured bacterium. Its description in RNAcentral is "partial 16S ribosomal RNA". It matches the Rfam family "Bacterial small subunit ribosomal RNA", at positions 28 to 507 of the family's 1533-position model. The record is from RNAcentral.